Molecule: ribosomal RNA, 410 nt
Filed under: uncultured eukaryote
Lineage: Eukaryota
Description: LSU rRNA
Rfam family: Eukaryotic large subunit ribosomal RNA
Source: RNAcentral
AAGAGAUAGGGAAACUCCGUUUAAUGUGGGCGCUUGCGCCCCACCCUCGAAAGGGAAGCCGGUUAACAUUCCGGCACCUGGAUGUAGAUUCUCCGCGGCAACGCAACUGAGAGCGGAGACCUUGGCGGGAGCCCCAAGAAGAGUUCUCUUUUCUUCUUAACAGUUUGUCACCCUGAAAAUCGGUUUGUCCGGAGCUAGGGUUCAAUGGCUGGAAGAGCGCUGCACUUUUGCGGCGUUUGGUGCGCUCCCGACGAGCCUUGAAAAUCCGCUUGAAGAAAUAGUUUUACGCCAGGUCGUACUCAUAACCGCAGCAGGUCUCCAAGGUGAACAGCCUCUAGUUGAUAGAACAAUGUAGAUAAGGGAAGUCGGCAAAAUAGAUCUGUAACUUCGGGAAAAGGAUUGGCUCUAAG